This 406-nucleotide ribosomal RNA is filed under the name uncultured prokaryote. Its description in RNAcentral is "bacterial SSU rRNA". It matches the Rfam family "Bacterial small subunit ribosomal RNA", at positions 355 to 776 of the family's 1533-position model. RNAcentral also lists the same sequence under 1 other name. The record is from RNAcentral.
UGGGGAAUAUUGGGCAAUGGGCGCAAGCCUGACCCAGCAACGCCGCGUGAAGGAAGAAGGCUUUCGGGUUGUAAACUUCUUUUGUCAGGGACGAAGCAAUGACGGUACCUGACGAAUAAGCCACGGCUAACUACGUGCCAGCAGCCGCGGUAAUACGUAGGUGGCAAGCGUUAUCCGGAUUUACUGGGUGUAAAGGGCGUGUAGGCGGGACUGCAAGUCAGAUGUGAAAACCACGGGCUCAACCUGUGGCCUGCAUUUGAAACUGUAGUUCUUGAGUGUCGGAGAGGUAAUCGGAAUUCCUAGUGUAGCGGUGAAAUGCGUAGAUAUUAGGAGGAACACCAGUGGCGAAGGCGGAUUACUGGACGAUAACUGACGCUGAGGCGCGAAAGCGUGGGGAGCAAACAGG